Long non-coding RNA from Mustela erminea (ermine), 109 nucleotides. RefSeq lists it as uncharacterized. NCBI's taxonomy places the organism in Eukaryota, Metazoa, Chordata, Mammalia, Carnivora, Mustelidae. The transcript is spliced from 3 exons. The record is from RefSeq and is a predicted model, not a curated record.
AGCUUCCCCAGCACAGGCCUGGGCUGAGAUGCCUGCCCUCGAUCUGUUUGAGCAGUCUCCUCCUCUCCAGGCAGGGAAGAUGGUUCCCCUUUCUCCACAUCCUCACCAA